GAAAAGUCGGAUUUAUUGGGCUAUACGGUAUUCUCGGGUAAGCUGGUUUUGGAUAAGAGAAAGAAUUCGGACAAGAAUACUUCUGAUGACACUGGUGUAGCCGAUCAAGAAGGUUUUGAUGCUAAACUUACUAGCACGGCCUUGGUAUGGGGUUCUCACAUGCUUAGUCUGGAGGAUGUCAUUUCAGUCUCGUACAAUGUUGG
Molecule: unclassified non-coding RNA, 203 nt
Filed under: Hevea brasiliensis (rubber tree)
Lineage: Eukaryota; Viridiplantae; Streptophyta; Magnoliopsida; Malpighiales; Euphorbiaceae
Source: RNAcentral